Molecule: ribosomal RNA, 277 nt
Filed under: uncultured bacterium
Lineage: Bacteria
Description: partial 16S ribosomal RNA
Rfam family: Bacterial small subunit ribosomal RNA
Source: RNAcentral
GAUAAACGCUGGCGGCGUGCCUAACACAUGCAAGUCGAACGCACUUCUUUCGGGAGGUGAGUGGCGCACGGGUGAGUAACACGUGGGUACCUACCCUACAGGUGAGGAAUACCGCCGAGAAAUCGGCGACAAGACCGCAUAGGCUCGGCUCUCUCGCGAGAGGGAGGCGAGCAAAGCUUUGUCUCGCAAGAGGCGGGGUGCCUGAGGAUGGGCCUGCGGCUGAUUAGCUGGUUGGUGGGGUAAAAGCCUACCAAGGCGACGAUCAGUAGCUGGUCUG